CAGCAGCUGAUUCCACUUUGCAGCCCAAGUGGAAUUUGCCACAGGACUUCUGUUGAAUGUUUUCCUGCCUAUGUUUGGGGCCGCGGACAUUAGGACUAGAAGUAGGCAAAGAAGAUUAAUCCUCCAAGAGAAGAAAAUAAAAAAAGGAAAAAAUUAGUUCUGGAAGCUAAUAUCAGAAUUCUGAACCCACAUAUACCAAGAGCCUAGGUGGCUGGGUUGGAGCAGCACCAGUCUUACCAUCGUGAUGGUGUAGUUCCCAA
Long non-coding RNA from Pogoniulus pusillus (Red-fronted tinkerbird), 260 nucleotides. RefSeq lists it as uncharacterized. Lineage: Eukaryota; Metazoa; Chordata; Aves; Piciformes; Lybiidae. The record is from RefSeq and is a predicted model, not a curated record. The transcript has 3 exons.